Molecule: long non-coding RNA, 1235 nt
Organism: Aplysia californica (California sea hare)
Lineage: Eukaryota; Metazoa; Mollusca; Gastropoda; Aplysiida; Aplysiidae
Exons: 4
Source: RefSeq, a predicted model, not a curated record
GACACUUAACAUGAGGGCACAGGUCCUUCUUUGCGCCUUGGUGCUGCUUGCAGCCUUCCAUGUCCUUGAUGCCAAAAAAAGUAAACGCAAGUCCGGCGGCGGAGGCUGUGGGAAAGGUCAACACCCGACUCGUCCUCAAGGCGGAAAUACCCACAAACCGCACGGACCCAACCGACGCCCUAAACCGGCGACAUGCGAGCCACCUCCCCCACCACCACCACAAGUGCUGACGAUAACCUCAGAGAAACCCCAACUGAUUGUCGACCCUCCAGGUGAGAUCUCAAAUACUGAUAUCUAUAACUAAGUAGGCCUAGUGGGGCUACUUUUGAAGUUGAGUUUGAGAUUUCCGGGAAAAUCUGAUUUGUACAUCUUGUCCAGGAGUGUAAAGCAACUUUUUAAAGUGUUAUAUAAGCUGUCGAAAGCUAAAAUUCCUAAACAUUUUAAAAAUGCUGAGUCUGCCUUCUUCCUAUGGGUGUUUUCAUAAAGCGGUAGACAAUGCUACCGUCUCUUUAUGCAGCUAUUCCCUCCCUACUAAAUAUUUUACCCAGAAUUCGAUGAAUAUUAAUUUAUUGCUUCACGCCACAAGAGUCUAACAAGGCCAUAAUUUCUUUACUUUCCCUAUCACUAUCAUAAUGUAACAAAUGUUCUUCAUUUCCCGAUACUUAUUCUUCUAUCCAAAAUAGUAGUGAUUGAGCUAAAUUUUUGUCUUGUCUUCCUUUUCUAACGUGUUCAACAAAAAUAUAAAACUACCUGUUCCACUCACUACUCCUUGCCUCUCAUUCAUUUUGAUCUAAAAUUGUUGUUCUUCUCAACGAGUGUUUCUUUUGGUUCCUCCACUAUAGUGAUCCAACCCCCACCUCCUUCUGUUUGUGGUGGACCAUUGGAUGUAAUCUUCCUGGUGGACAAAUCGGCAAGCAUCUCCAACCAAGCCUUCGUACAGGAAAAGAGAUUUGUUCGGGAUUUUUCAGAACAAUUCAAUGUCGGCCUUUCUCAGAUUCGUGUCAGCGUUGUACUCUUUGCUAUUAAUCCCCACAACGCUUUCUGCUUUGAUGAGUACACCGACAACGCAGCUUUGUCAAAGGCUAUCAUGGGCUUGCAAUGCAAACAGUGCAAGAGAGGAAAGACUGGAACUGGAGCUGCUUUGGAGUUUGCCAGAGAAAAGUCUUUCAAUAAGGAAUGUGGAGCUCGGUCAAACGUCAAGAAACUUGUUGUGGUCCUUACUGAUGGGAAAUCCA